RNAcentral lists this ribosomal RNA (482 nucleotides) under uncultured bacterium. Its description in RNAcentral is "partial 16S ribosomal RNA". It matches the Rfam family "Bacterial small subunit ribosomal RNA", at positions 28 to 507 of the family's 1533-position model. The record is from RNAcentral.
GAUGAACGCUAGCGGCAGGCCUAAUACAUGCAAGUCGAACGAGAUUAAGAGGCUUGCUUCUUAUGAAAGUGGCGCACGGGUGCGUAACGCGUAUGCAACCUACCUUAAUCAGGGGGAUAGCCCGAAGAAAUUCGGAUUAAGACCGCAUAAAAACACAGGAUAGCAUUAUCCAAUGUUCAAAUAUUUAUAGGAUUAAGAUGGGCAUGCGUGUCAUUAGCUAGUUGGCGGGGUAACGGCCCACCAAGGCGACGAUGACUAGGGGAUCUGAGAGGAUGACCCCCCGCACUGGUACUGAGACCCGGACCAGACUCCUACGGGAGGCAGCAGUAAGGAAUACUGGUCAAUGGAGGGAACUCUGACCCAGCCAUGCCGCGUGCAGGAAGACAGCCCUCUGGGUCGUAAACUGCUUUUAUUCGGGAAUAAACCUUUCUACGCGUAGGAAGCUGAAUGUACCGAAAGAAUAAGGAUCGGCUAACUCCGUG